This 349-nucleotide unclassified non-coding RNA is filed under the name soil metagenome. Its description in RNAcentral is "partial contains 5.8S ribosomal RNA, internal transcribed spacer 2, and large subunit ribosomal RNA". The stretch from base 1 to 120 matches the Rfam family "5.8S ribosomal RNA", at positions 35 to 154 of the family's 154-position model. The record is from RNAcentral.
GAUGAAGAUCGCAGCGAAAUGCGAAAAGUAAUGUGAAUUGCAGAAUUCAGUGAAUCAUCGAAUCUUUGAACGCACAUUGCGCCCGCCAGUAUUCUGGCGGGCAUGCCUGUCUGAGCGUCAUUUCAACCCUCACGCCCCUAGGGCGUGGUGUUGGGGAUCGGCCAGCGCCCUCGCGGGCGAGGCCGUCCCCUAAAUCUAGUGGCGGACCCGUCGUGGCCUCCCCUGCGAAGUAGUGAUAUUCCGCAUAGGAGAGCGACGAGCCCCUGCCGUUAAACCCCCAACUUUCUCAGGUUGACCUCAGAUCAGGUAGGAAUACCCGCUGAACUUAAGCAUAUCAAUAAGCGGAGGA